Molecule: non-coding RNA, 535 nt
Filed under: Pan troglodytes (chimpanzee)
Lineage: Eukaryota; Metazoa; Chordata; Mammalia; Primates; Hominidae
Source: RNAcentral
AAAGACAAGAUGAAAGUAUACCUAGAGGGACCUGUUUUCCUAACUGAUGUUAGAAAACUGAUGUGUCAUUUGAGCUAACCUCAGAAUCAAAACUUUGGCAUAAUUCUGGAGAAUGUGGUCACCAGAAAGCACAGAUGUUACUCUGGGACUACCACAUUGUGAAGGAAUUAUAACUGAUUUCUAAGACUUCAAAUUCUUAAUUGUUGGCCACUUGGCUUUACAAUGUGAAAAAGAACAUAUACAAAUAGGAUGACACACUGAAUGUCAGAUUUACGGUGUAUGUCAAGAAAAGAGCACAAACAAGUGGCAGUACUUUAUUCUCAAGCAAAAAUAUCUAAAGACAAACAUUCUCAGAAAUGCUGAAAUUACAUAACAUGAAUAAUGUAGAUUUUUAUUUACUUUCUGCCUAACUCAAAAAAGAUACACAAAAUGACUUUGAAAAUAAUUCUUUAAAAGCUCCUCAAAAGAAACAAUGUAAAUCCAAACCUGUGACAACAAAAAUGGAAUGUUUGUUUAAAAGAAAAGGUGUAGGAGG